GUCAUGGCUCAGGAUGAACGCUAGCGACAGGCUUAACACAUGCAAGUCGAGGGGCAGCACAGGUAGCAAUACCGGGUGGCGACCGGCGCACGGGUGAGUAACGCGUAUGCAACUUACCUAUCAGAGGGGGAUAACCCGGCGAAAGUCGGACUAAUACCGCAUGAAGCAGGGGCCCCGCAUGGGGAUAUUUGCUAAAGAUUCAUCGCUGAUAGAUAGGCAUGCGUUCCAUUAGG
Molecule: ribosomal RNA, 233 nt
Filed under: uncultured bacterium
Lineage: Bacteria
Description: partial 16S ribosomal RNA
Rfam family: Bacterial small subunit ribosomal RNA
Source: RNAcentral